Molecule: small RNA, 171 nt
Filed under: Streptomyces chattanoogensis
Lineage: Bacteria; Bacillati; Actinomycetota; Actinomycetes; Kitasatosporales; Streptomycetaceae
Description: c-di-AMP sequence
Rfam family: c-di-AMP riboswitch aptamer (ydaO/yuaA leader)
About the family: This family represents a conserved RNA structure found upstream of the ydaO and yuaA genes in Bacillus subtilis and related genes in other bacteria. The ydaO/yuaA element is thought to act as a genetic "off" switch for the ydaO and yuaA genes in its native state. It is believed that the element may be triggered during osmotic shock leading to activation of ydaO, a predicted amino acid transporter gene, and members of the yuaA-yubG operon which code for KtrA and KtrB K+ transporters.
Source: Rfam by way of RNAcentral
GACGCGCAAGCGCCGAAGGCAGGAGCGGGGGACCCAAGGUAAGUGCCGGCCCCACCCGUGAAAGCGGGUCAACCGGCUUGGGGUGAAGCCGGGUGCGCCAUGCGCCCCCCGGCCGGGCCACUCACAGCCCGAACCCGACAGCUCACCUCGUAGGCGUCGGUGAGGAAACGA